This is a long non-coding RNA of Gadus chalcogrammus (walleye pollock), 294 nucleotides long. RefSeq lists it as uncharacterized. The transcript has 3 exons. Lineage: Eukaryota; Metazoa; Chordata; Actinopteri; Gadiformes; Gadidae. The record is from RefSeq and is a predicted model, not a curated record.
CUUCAAGGAAACUGUCGUCGGACGUCGCGGAAAGCGCAGCCAACCUGAGUCCUGGGAUGCGCCUGAGGACUGGGAUCAGUCUUCCGUGCGGAUCCUUCCUCAUGAGGUUUGUGUGCCUCCUCUGGUCCUGAGGGAGUGCUUUGUCGUGCUAAACCCUAUCCGGUUUAGCACUGACAAGUUGGCUGCAAUGGAUCGCAUUGUUCCAUCCAACCUUGACGUCCCCAUGUAUGCUACCAUGGGGAAUCGCUCAAAGGUCAUUUGUGUGAUUUUAAUAUUAACUGUUUGUGAGUGCAU